This is a long non-coding RNA of Salvia miltiorrhiza (redroot sage), 955 nucleotides long. RefSeq lists it as uncharacterized. Lineage: Eukaryota; Viridiplantae; Streptophyta; Magnoliopsida; Lamiales; Lamiaceae. The record is from RefSeq and is a predicted model, not a curated record. The transcript is spliced from 2 exons.
UCAAACUUACUGAAGAAAGGUUGCAGAGAGAUAAAAAAAGGGAAAAGCUUCAAUCAAUCACUGUACUUGGACAUCCAUAACGGAGAGAGAAAGCAAGGAAGGAAAAAAGAACCAUCUUUCACUUUCCGUGGAAGAUCCCAACUCCAUUUCCUCAUCUGCGCAUUCCAAUUCGCAGCUGCAGUGGGGAUGUCAGGGGUGGGGUUAGGGGUGCAAAAGGGGUGGCGGUAGAGCGAGGGUUUGGUGGCGGCGGCAGUGGUGGUAGGGGUGGAAGAGUGGUGAGGAACCUGGUAAAGGGGAGACCAAUGGACUACUCUGAUGGGGGUUUCAGUGAUGAUGAUGGCGAUGAUAGUGAUGAGGAUGCCGCAGAGGAGGAGCAGGUGAUGGCGGAAGAGAGAGGAAGUGGCCGUGGUGGGGUAUGGGUAUGGAGAAUAAAAAGAUUGAGAUGAUGCAGGAGACAGAGAGGUAUAGGAUGGAUAUGGAGAAGAAGAAGAUGGAGAUGAUUGCUGAAGCACAGAGGAAAAUGGUUGACACAAUCAGAAGGGCGUUCGGAGCUCAUAAACGGGUAAAAAUGGAUCAAGAAUCUUGACAGCAAUUGCUGAAUUCUUUGUGUAAUAAUAACAUGUUGGAGCUCAUAAAAGGGCAAAUAUUGCUCUAGCAAUAUCUUGACCGCAAUUGCUUAAUCGUUUUUCUUAUAUGAGAACAUGGAGGUUGUAAGGGUUGCUGCCAUUGUUGGGCAGUUCGGAGUUCGUAGAAGGGCAAAAAUGGCUGACAGCCAUGGAUUAAGUGGUUGCUUAGUUUGUAUUUUGUAGGGAAGUAUUGAUGUUUAGGUUAUAUCUACUAAUCCAAGCUUAUAUAGUGUUUCUUUCUUUCUGCUCUGUGAUUUAGUUGUUAGGAAUGUAACAGUUUUUAUGUUUUAUAGUUGGUGCUCAAUGAAAACAAAAUUUCCAUCUUCAUC